RNAcentral lists this ribosomal RNA (468 nucleotides) under uncultured bacterium. RNAcentral's name for it is "partial 16S ribosomal RNA". It matches the Rfam family "Bacterial small subunit ribosomal RNA", at positions 28 to 507 of the family's 1533-position model. The record is from RNAcentral.
GACGAACGCUGGCGGCGUGCUUAACACAUGCAAGUCGAACGGAAAGGUCCUGCUUUUGUGGGGUGCUCGAGUGGCGAACGGGUGAGUAACACGUGAGUAACCUGCCCUUGACUUUGGGAUAACUCCAGGAAACUGGGGCUCAUACCGGAUAGGAGCUCCUGCUGCAUGGUUGGGGUUGGAAAGUUUCGGCGGUUGGGGAUGGACUCGCGGCGUAUCAGCUUGUUGGUGGGGUAGUGGCUUACCAAGGCUUUGACGGGUAGCCGGCCUGAGAGGGUGACCGGCCACAUUGGGACUGAGAUACGGCCCAGACUCCUACGGGAGGCAGCAGUGGGGAAUAUUGCACAAUGGGCGGAAGCCUGAUGCAGCAACGCCGCGUGCGGGAUGACGGCCUUCGGGUUGUAAACCGCUUUCGCCUGUGACGAAGCGUGAGUGACGGUAAUGGGUAAAGAAGCACCGGCUAACUACGUG